CUCAUAGCGUAUAUUUAAGUUGUUGCAGUUAAAAAGCUCGUAGUCGGAUUUUGGCUGAGAACGAACGGUCCGCCGUUAGGUGUGCACUGUUUGGUCUCAGCUUCCUGGUGAGGAGGUGUGCUUCACGGCCACUUAGUCACCGUGGUUACUUUGAAAAAAUUAGAGUGUUCAAAGCGGGCUUACGCUUGAAUAUAUUAGCAUGGAAUAACACCAUAGGACUCCUGUCCUAUUUCGUUGGUCUCGGGACGGGAGUAAUGAUUAAGAGGAACAGUUGGGGGCAUUCGUAUUUCAUUGUCAGAGGUGAAAUUCUUGGAUUUAUGAAAGACGAACUUCUGCGAAAGCAUUUGCCAAGGAUGUUUUCAUUGAUCAAGAACGAAAGUUGGGGGCUCGAAGAUGAUUAGAUACCAUCCUAGUCUCAACCAUAAACGAUGCCGACUAGGGAUUGGCGGAUGUUAAUUGAUGACUUCGCCAGCACCUUAUGAGAAAUCAAAGUUUUUGGG
This 500-nucleotide ribosomal RNA is filed under the name uncultured eukaryote. Its description in RNAcentral is "SSU rRNA". It matches the Rfam family "Eukaryotic small subunit ribosomal RNA", at positions 591 to 1111 of the family's 1831-position model. The record is from RNAcentral.